CAGUCGCCGCGGGAAUACGAAGGGUGCAAGCGUUACUCGGAAUUACUGGGCGUAAAGCGUGCGUAGGUGGUGGUUUAAGUCCGUUGUGAAAGCCCUGGGCUCAACCUGGGAAUUGCAGUGGAUACUGGGUCACUAGAGUGUGGUAGAGGAUAGUGGAAUUUCCGGUGUAGCAGUGAAAUGCGUAGAGAUCGGAAGGAACAUCUGUGGCGAAGGCGACUAUCUGGGCCAACACUGACACUGAGGCACGAAAGCGUGGGGAGCAAACAGGAUUAGAUACCCGCGUAGUCCCUGUCUCUUAUAA
RNAcentral lists this ribosomal RNA (301 nucleotides) under uncultured bacterium. Its description in RNAcentral is "partial 16S ribosomal RNA". It matches the Rfam family "Bacterial small subunit ribosomal RNA", at positions 509 to 809 of the family's 1533-position model. The record is from RNAcentral.